Molecule: ribosomal RNA, 499 nt
Filed under: uncultured bacterium
Lineage: Bacteria
Description: partial 16S ribosomal RNA
Rfam family: Bacterial small subunit ribosomal RNA
Source: RNAcentral
GAUGAACGCUGGCGGCGUGCCUAAUACAUGCAAGUCGAGCGAACAGACGAGAGUGCUUGCACUCUCUGACGUUAGCGGCGGACGGGUGAGUAACACGUGGGUAACCUACCUAUAAGACUGGGAUCACUUCGGGAAACCGGAGCUAAUACCGGAUAAUAUUUAGCUUCGCAUGACGCAAUAGUGAAAGACGGUUCUGCUGUCACUUAGAGAUGGACCCGCGGCGUAUUAGCUAGUUGGUGAGGUAACGGCUCACCAAGGCAACGAUACAUAGCCGACCUGAGAGGGUGAUCGGCCACACUGGGACUGAGACACGGCCCAGACUCCUACGGGAGGCAGCAGUAGGGAAUCUUCCGCAAUGGGCGAAAGCCUGACGGAGCAAUGCCGCGUGAGUGAAGAAGGUUUUCGGAUCGUAAAACUCUGUUGUAAGGGAAGAACAAGUACGUUAGUAACUGAACGUACCUUGACGGUACCUUACCAGAAAGCCACGGCUAACUACGUG